GAUGAACGCUGGCGGCGUGCCUAAUACAUGCAAGUCGAGCGAACAGACGAGGAGCUUGCUCCUCUGACGUUAGCGGCGGACGGGUGAGUAACACGUGGAUAACCUACCUAUAAGACUGGGAUAACUUCGGGAAACCGGAGCUAAUACCGGAUAAUAUAUUGAACCGCAUGGUUCAAUAGUGAAAGACGGUUUUGCUGUCACUUAUAGAUGGAUCCGCGCCGCAUUAGCUAGUUGGUAAGGUAACGGCUUACCAAGGCAACGAUGCGUAGCCGACCUGAGAGGGUGAUCGGCCACACUGGAACUAAGACACGGUCCAGACUCCGACGGGAGGCAGCAGUAGGGAAUCUUCCGCAAUGGGCGAAAGCCUGACGAAGCAACGCCGCGUGAGUGAUGAAGGUCUUCGGAUCGUAAAACUCUGUUAUUAGGGAAGAACAAAUGUGUAAGUAACUACGCACGUCUUGACGGUACCUAAUCAGAAAGCCACGGCUAACUACGUG
Molecule: ribosomal RNA, 497 nt
Filed under: uncultured bacterium
Lineage: Bacteria
Description: partial 16S ribosomal RNA
Rfam family: Bacterial small subunit ribosomal RNA
Source: RNAcentral